Molecule: long non-coding RNA, 1290 nt
Organism: Pogoniulus pusillus (Red-fronted tinkerbird)
Lineage: Eukaryota; Metazoa; Chordata; Aves; Piciformes; Lybiidae
Exons: 3
Source: RefSeq, a predicted model, not a curated record
CACAAAUACAUUCACUUUACACCUGCCAUGGCAAUAAGCCGAUUUUUCCCCCUGGCUACUUUACACACGUGCGCCCGCGCAUGAGGCUAAAUAAGACGGCUUCACAAACAUCUCCCCAACACCUUGGAGCAUUCGUUUUCGCUACGGCCGCACCCGAAAUAACUCACACCCACCCAAAGCAGAGGCCUUGCCCUGCUCCCGCCGCAAAGCCACGGCCGCGCUGCUCCCGCGAUGGCCAGAUCCCCAGCCCACGGACAAAUGGAGGGUGCGAAAACCACUCAGGGGCAAGAAUGUACGACAGCGGCGGCACUCCGGACCGAUAGCGGGCGGGCCGGGGCCCUGCGGAGCGCGGCGGGCCCGCGGCGGCGCAGCCCCUCCCUCCGCUCCCUCCCUCCGCUCUAUACAGGGCCCCCACGUGAUCCAGGCGGACGUUUCAAUACUGCUGCACAGACAUACAAAAAUAUUUCUGGAAACUUCCACUCCUAAUAAUUUACAGAUUAUGUCCCUAGUUUUGCCCGUACCCGAUCCAAACCCUUCCAAAUCGUUCAGCCUUCCUAGCAGCGAAAGGCAGGCCUCCGCCGUACGCCUCAACAACGGCUUCCCGGCGCUUCUGCCGUCUUUCCCGUGGCACCAGCAUCCACGGUUUUCUCCGUGAACUUGAUUUAGAGAGGCUUUUUCUGUGAAAAUUGAGGACCCUUGAAACUUGCUGCUGACCAGUCUGAAAACUCAAUAUGCCUGCUAUUUCUGUUACAAUCUUGGGAGAAACAACCCUUAAAUAGUCUUGUCAGAGGCCCAUAGCCAUGUAGUCAUCUAAAGUAGCUUUCUUUUUAACUAACUCACCGUUCUAAUGCAGUUCACAUUUCCUUUGUUAACAGAGAUUUUUACUGCAGUUUUGGGAGGAUAGUAUUUACAUUGUACUGGAAGAAAAGUUUCCACCAAAUGUUUGUAGCAUUUCUGUAGCUUGGAGUUUAUAAGGAAAUAACCAAUACUAAGUGUUUUGUUGUUCAGCUGGGGUAACUCUGUCUACUCCAUCUUGUAUUUAAAAAGCAUGUGACUGUAAUCAUCAUUAUUCUGUUUGUCAGCUAGUACUUUGUGCUUUUCAUCUCAGCAAUACUCAUUGUCAAAGGGCAAUUCCACUUGUUGAUCCUUCUCCAGUAUCCUGCUGAGGUAGUCUUUUUUGCCUGUUUCUGAUCCAGCACUUUACUUUAGAGAUCAUGGGAUUUGAACUUUGCUUUGAACAUAUCUUUUCUCAUUUCUAUCCAUGUAUUGUUUAAAAAUUAAAAAAGAGAG